CCCUAGUACGGCGAGUGAGCGGGAAGAGCUCAAAUUUGAAAUCUGGUGGCCUCAGGUCAUCCGAGUUGUAAUCUAUAGAAGUGUUUUCCGUGCUGGCUCAUGUACAAGUCCCUUGGAACAGGGCGUCAUAGAGGGUGAGAAUCCCGUCCUUGACAUGAACUACCAGUGCUCUGUGAUACAUUUUCAACGAGUCGAGUUGUUUGGGAAUGCAGCUCAAAAUGGGUGGUAAAUUCCAUCUAAAGCUAAAUAUUGGCGAGAGACCGAUAGCGAACAAGUACCGUGAGGGAAAGAUGAAAAGCACUUUGGAAAGAGAGUUAAACAGUAUGUGAAAUUGUUGAAAGGGAAACGAUUGAAGUCAGUCGUGCUCUUUGGAUUCAGCCGGUUCUGCCGGUGUACUUCCUUUGAGUGGGGUCAACAUCAGUUUUGAUCGCUGGAUAAAGGCGGGAGGAAUGUAGUACCCUCGGGUAAACUUAUAGCCUCUUGUCACAUACAGUGGUUGGGACUGAGGAACGCAGCAUGCCUUUAUGGCCGGGAUUCGUCCACGUACAUGCUUAGGAUGUUGACAUAAUGGCUUUAAACGACCCGUCUUGAAACACGGACCA
This 602-nucleotide ribosomal RNA is filed under the name Filobasidium oeirense. Its description in RNAcentral is "eukaryotic LSU rRNA". It matches the Rfam family "Eukaryotic large subunit ribosomal RNA", at positions 78 to 668 of the family's 3401-position model. Lineage: Eukaryota; Fungi; Basidiomycota; Tremellomycetes; Filobasidiales; Filobasidiaceae. The record is from RNAcentral.